UUCAAAAUGGCAAAUGGAUUGUUUAAAGGUUCUCAUAGAGGUUCAAGAGAGGAAGAAGUGAAUCCAAAGGAGAAGAGGAGAGGAGAAAACUGCAUCUUUUGCAUGAAGACGUAGACACAGACACAUAAUGGACAGAACAGAACAGAUUUGGAAUCAUAAAAUCACUCCGGUGUUGUGGAAGUCAAAAGAGGAG
This 193-nucleotide long non-coding RNA is filed under the name Fukomys damarensis (Damara mole-rat). Its description in RNAcentral is "lncRNA (ENSFDAG00000023465.1)". Lineage: Eukaryota; Metazoa; Chordata; Mammalia; Rodentia; Bathyergidae. The record is from RNAcentral.